Artibeus jamaicensis (Jamaican fruit-eating bat) is the source of this 726-nucleotide long non-coding RNA. RefSeq lists it as uncharacterized. The record is from RefSeq and is a predicted model, not a curated record. Lineage: Eukaryota; Metazoa; Chordata; Mammalia; Chiroptera; Phyllostomidae. The transcript is spliced from 3 exons.
UUGGCAGAGCACAUCCUCAAGUAACUUCCUGAGAAAAUGGGUGCAUUGGAGGUACAUUUUCAAGAUUGUCACUAAAAAUGUUUCAUACUCCCACUGGCUAAAGGGAGGAGGAGUUCGGGAGCAGAGAUGGAGGCCAUGACCAUGACUUCCUGCUUUUGCAUGCCUGCCAACCUUUUACUGGACACCAGACAUUCUCCAGGCCCACAAAAGCAGCAAAACCAAGUGGGCGAUGCCAGGACCAGCUGCAAUGACUGAUGACCCCCUGCACUGCCACUGACCAAUCAGUGGAGACCACGACCCUAAAGAGCACACCUGGAGAACUGAUGAAUAUUCUGCUGAGAACUCCCCUAAGAUCCCACCACAAGAGAGAGAUAAAAGCCUCAAGACAAAGGACCCAGCCUCCUGCUCUCCCUGCGGGGAGCAGCCUUCACCAUUUCCUUUCCUCUCUUCUUCCCCCCACUGCUUCCCCCACAGGCACACAUGUCCUGUGCUCUGGGGGACCCCACAAGACUUGAAAUCAAGAGAGCAGUGGUUAGUGGCAGCUUGUCCUGGGCUAACUUCUGAACCUGUCCCCAAAACCACCUUUUCACUGACUCCCCAGUGAGCUAAAGCAGCCCAGCCGAGGCUCUUCUGUUGCUUCUUCUAUGCUAAGUCCUUCCUUGUUUUGCUGUCCCCAGCUUUAGUAAACAUAUCCUCAGUCACCUGGACUCAUGCUGUGAAAUCUCU